This is a non-coding RNA of Brugia malayi, 87 nucleotides long. NCBI's taxonomy places the organism in Eukaryota, Metazoa, Nematoda, Chromadorea, Rhabditida, Onchocercidae. The record is from Rfam.
CCAGCCAUAGCUCAGUUGGUAGAGCGGAGGACUGUAGAGUGCAGCGUGGUGAUCCUUAGGUCGCUGGUUCGAAUCCGGCUGGCUGGA